RNAcentral lists this ribosomal RNA (253 nucleotides) under uncultured bacterium. RNAcentral's name for it is "partial 16S ribosomal RNA". It matches the Rfam family "Bacterial small subunit ribosomal RNA", at positions 524 to 776 of the family's 1533-position model. The record is from RNAcentral.
UACGGGGGGGGCAAGCGUUAUCCGGAUUCACUGGGUUUAAAGGGUGCGUAGGUGGGCAGGUAAGUCAGUGGUGAAAUCUCCGGGCUUAACCCGGAAACUGCCAUUGAUACUAUCAGUCUUGAAUACCGUGGAGGUAAGCGGAAUAUGCCAUGUAGCGGUGAAAUGCUUAGGUAUGACAUAGAACACCAAUUGCGAAGGCAGCUUACUACCCGAAUAUUGACACUGAGGCACGAAAGCGUGGGGAUCAAACAGG